GAAAUGCGAUAAGUAAUGUGAAUUGCAGAAUUCAGUGAAUCAUCGAAUCUUUGAACGCACCUUGCGCUCCUUGGUAAUCCGGAGGAGCAUGCCUGUUUGAGUGUCAUUAAAUUCUCAACCCUUUCAGCUUUUGCGAGUUGAAUUGGCUUGGAUUGUGGGGGUUUGCGGGCUUCUCAGAAGUCGGCUCCUCUUAAAUGCAUUAGCAGAACCUUUGUGGACCAGCUUUGGUGUGAUAAUUAUCUACGCCAUGGUUGUGAAGCAGCUUUACAUGGGGUUCAGCUUCUAACUGUCCAUUGACUUGGACAACUUUUGACAUUUUGACCUCAAAUCAGGUAGGACUACCCGCUGAACUUAA
This 355-nucleotide unclassified non-coding RNA is filed under the name uncultured Tricholomataceae. Its description in RNAcentral is "sequence contains ITS1". The stretch from base 1 to 106 matches the Rfam family "5.8S ribosomal RNA", at positions 50 to 154 of the family's 154-position model. The record is from RNAcentral. Lineage: Eukaryota; Fungi; Basidiomycota; Agaricomycetes; Agaricales; Tricholomataceae.